GGUGGCUCAGUGGUAGAGCACUCGCCUUGCAUGCAUGGAGCCCUGAGUUCGAUUCCUCAGCACCA
Dipodomys ordii (Ord's kangaroo rat) is the source of this 65-nucleotide non-coding RNA. The record is from Rfam. NCBI's taxonomy places the organism in Eukaryota, Metazoa, Chordata, Mammalia, Rodentia, Heteromyidae.